AUGAAGCGCUUCUUCCAGCCCGUACUCAAGGACGGAUCCCCCGCCAAGAAGAGGCCCGCCGGAGCCGCGAUCUCUGACUGCGUUGAUGGCCGCGCCCCCACCGCGGCCGACGCCGGCGGGGACGGCCCUCCCGGCGAGGAGCCACGCAGGUUCAUCACGUGGAACGCCAACAGCCUUCUGCUCCGGAUGAAGAGCGACUGGCCCGCGUUCUGUCAGUUCGUCGCCCGCCUCGACCCCGACGUCAUCUGCGUCCAGGAAGUGCGGAUGCCAGCAGCUGGUUCCAAAGGGGCACCUAAAAAUCCUAGUGAGCUAAAAGACGACACAACGUCGUCACGCGAAGAAAAACAGACAGUGCUGCGUGCUUUGUCGAGCUCACCUUUCAAAGACUACCGUGUGUGGUGGUCCCUUUCAGAUUCAAAAUAUGCAGGCACAGCUGUGUUUAUGAAGAAGAAGUUUGAACCAAAGAAAGUGUCAUUCAACUUGGAUAGAACAUCUACUAAGCAUGAUGCAGACGGUCGUGUCAUCAUUGUGGAAUUUGAAUCAUUCUUGUUGCUAAACACAUAUGCUCCAAACAACGGGUGGAAAGAGGAGGAAAAUUCAUUUCAAAGAAGAAGAAAGUGGGAUAAAAGAAUGUCGGAGUUUGUUCAACAAGUAGACAAGCCCUUAAUCUGGUGCGGAGACCUGAACGUUAGUCAUGACGAAAUCGAUGUCAGCCAUCCUGAUUUUUUUAGCGAUGCUAAGCUCAAUGGAUAUAUCCCUCCAAAUAAAGAGGACUGUGGACAGCCAGGAUUCACCCUUGCAGAGAGACAGCGCUUUGGCAAUAUAUUGUCCCAGGGAAAGCUGGUAGAUGCUUACAGAUACCUGCACAAAGAAAAAGACAUGGAGUGUGGCUUCUCUUGGUCUGGGAAUCCAGUUGGGAAGUACCGAGGAAAGAGAAUGCGGAUUGACUAUUUUGUUAUUUCAGAAGGGUUGAAAGACAGAAUUGUUUCAUGUGAAAUGCAUGGUCAUGGAAUUGAACUGGAAGGAUUUUAUGGAAGUGAUCACUGUCCUGUUUCACUUGUGCUCUCCAAAGAAGCAGCGGAAGCACCAGAAUCGAAGAGCUCCAGCUAA
This 1110-nucleotide ribosomal RNA is filed under the name Triticum aestivum (bread wheat). RNAcentral's name for it is "partial small subunit ribosomal RNA". Lineage: Eukaryota; Viridiplantae; Streptophyta; Magnoliopsida; Poales; Poaceae. The record is from RNAcentral.